Molecule: ribosomal RNA, 378 nt
Filed under: uncultured bacterium
Lineage: Bacteria
Description: bacterial SSU rRNA
Rfam family: Bacterial small subunit ribosomal RNA
Source: RNAcentral
GACGAACGCUGGCGGCGUGCUUAACACAUGCAAGUCGAACGGUGAAGCCUUCGGGUGGAUCAGUGGCGAACGGGUGAGUAACACGUGAGCAAUCUGCCCUUGACUCUGGGAUAACUUCGGGAAACCGGAGCUAAUACCGGAUAUGACAUCUGGCCGCAUGGUCUGGGUGUGGAAAGAUUUAUCGGUCAGGGAUGAGCUCGCGGCCUAUCAGCUUGUUGGGGGGUAAUGGCCCACCAAGGCGACGACGGGUAGCCGGCCUGAGAGGGCGACCGGCCACACUGGGACUGAGACACGGCCCAGACUCCUACGGGAGGCAGCAGUGGGGAAUAUUGCGCAAUGGGCGAAAGCCUGACGCAGCGACGCCGCGUGAGGGAUGAA